UAACAUUAUGUAAAGGCAUACAUCUUUAAAAAGUUUAUAGUCAGUUAAAAAGCUUAUUCAGACAUAUGUAUGUCUUGUCACCUUAAUAUAAUUACCUUAUCUUAUCUAAUCUUGGAAGAUUAUGGAUGGUAGCUGCCAUGUAGCCAUGCCUCUGUUAUAUGUAUAAAAUUGCUCAAUAUAUACACUAACCAAAAAAGAAAAUGAAUCUUUACUACCUUUAAUAUGACAUUUUAGGUGUCGCUCCCAGUAAAAAAAACGAAAACUUUGACUCAAGUACAGGCGGAUAUGACACUUUUUGUAGUUAUUUGUAAACGUUUGUAAACCAUAUAUAAGGGCGCUGCAGUUACUUACUUAUUAUUUCAAAGGACGCAUCAGUGAUUCUUUAUUUGUUACAAAUAAACUCACUUACGUGAAACAGUUAAAGGAUUGGAAAAACAAGGAUGAAGAUCAGCAUUUUGAUUUCGUUUGUUAUUCUAUCCGCCAUGUUGAUGACGUCUGAAGGGCAACAAAGAAAAUCGUCUGGAAUGGUCAAAUGCAGGGUGGAGUGUAUGGAAGAAUACAACGUGUGCGCCGGACCCUGUAAAAGAGGACCUUUACACAUGCCUAACGUUUGCAAUGGAAUACCGUGCCGAGAUUUACUUCAGGACUGCUAUGCUACUAGAUGUAAUUUCAAUGAACAAUAAACUUGGCUAAAAUCAAAACAUUUGGAUGUUUCAUAAAUUUGAAAUUAAUCAUGUCUGUUUCUGUUGUAAAUGCAUCUAGUUAGAGUUCCGUUUCAAGAUGACUUAAUCAAUUUCAGUUGUUUAAAAGAUUAGGAUAAAAUGGAAAAUCAUGUAUAUGGUAUUGAAAGAAGUGACAAAGCAACUUAGCUUUUACUUUCAUUCUUAACUUCUUUUCAUUAAGAUGAUCUUAUGCACCUUGGAUAUAUUAAAAUUAGUUAAACAAUUA
Molecule: long non-coding RNA, 948 nt
Organism: Mercenaria mercenaria
Lineage: Eukaryota; Metazoa; Mollusca; Bivalvia; Venerida; Veneridae
Exons: 2
Source: RefSeq, a predicted model, not a curated record